Molecule: ribosomal RNA, 378 nt
Filed under: uncultured bacterium
Lineage: Bacteria
Description: bacterial SSU rRNA
Rfam family: Bacterial small subunit ribosomal RNA
Source: RNAcentral
UAAUACGUAGGGGGCAAGCGUUGUCCGGAAUUAUUGGGCGUAAAGCGCGCGCAGGCGGCUGUUUAAGUUCGGUGUUUAAGCCCGGGGCUCAACCCCGGUUCGCACCGGAAACUGGAUGGCUUGAGUGCAGGAGAGGGAAGUGGAAUUCCACGUGUAGCGGUGAAAUGCGUAGAGAUGUGGAGGAACACCAGUGGCGAAGGCGACUUCCUGGCCUGAAACUGACGCUGAGGCGCGAAAGCGUGGGGAGCAAACAGGAUUAGAUACCCUGGUAGUCCACGCCGUAAACGAUGAGUGCUAGGUGUUAGGGGUUUCGAUACCCUUGGUGCCGAAGUCAACACAGUAAGCACUCCGCCUGGGGAGUACGGUCGCAAGACUGAA